This is a long non-coding RNA of Anolis carolinensis (green anole), 3153 nucleotides long. RefSeq lists it as uncharacterized. Lineage: Eukaryota; Metazoa; Chordata; Lepidosauria; Squamata; Anolidae. The record is from RefSeq and is a predicted model, not a curated record. The transcript is spliced from 2 exons.
UGUUUUAAUUACUAUUAUACACAUGUAUUCCCUCACUCCUAAACUGUAUUUUAGAAACCAUGAUGGAUCAUAUUGCUAUCAAUUAAUAGUUUGGCAACAAACUGCCUCUUCUGAAGAGAUGAGAACAAGAAUGUACAUUUUGCAUGUACAUCUUCAGCUACCUUCGUUUUUAUUCAAUAAAUCUAUAUUUUAUGCCAGUUCAGAUAACACUAAUGAAUAGCUUUUUAAAACAUAAUGGUGUAGGAAGAGAGCAUCGGAAAGUAGAAAUGGACUGAAAGGUUAAUUCUGAUUAAUACAAAGCCAAGCCCCAUGAAUCUGGGAGUGUAUGAGAUCUAGCAAUGAAGAAAGGACAAUAGUUCAGAAUAGUUCCUUUUUAAACAAAAUCAAUCAUUGGAUCCAACCAAGGUGACAGCAAUAAAGCUAGAAUUAUGGGGCAAUAAUAUAAAGCUGAUUUGCAUAAAUCUUUACUUUUGGCAGGCCCAUGGGCAAAGACAGGCAGUGUUUUCAUAACAGCUUCACUAUCUCAAUCCAUAUUGGUAAGUAUAGUCUUAUCUCACAAUGACUGUAUUUACUACAAGUAGAAAGCUCUGAUCCUCUAGGUGUUUUUGGACUUCAAAUCCCAGAAGCCCCAGACAGAACAGCUAAUGUGUUAAAGGAGUUACAGUACAAAAUAUCUGGAGGACCAAAGAAUCCUCACUCCUGUCAUAAGGAUUACUUCCUCUCCCAAGAAUUCUCUGUCCCUUUAAGACAAGCUGGAGAGAUCUUGUUGAAUAUCCCUACAACUGGAGAGUUAAGAAGGAGUGACUGGAACCAACUGCUUAAAUGACUCAAGUCAGCUGCUGUGAGUCUUAGAAUAGUAUGGUUUCCAACAAGGAAAGUCUGGAAAGGCUUUUUCUUUUGAGGUGGGGGUCUAUAGCUCCCUAACCAGCAUGGAUACUUAGUUCCUCAUAAAUCUAAAUUGUAGGCAAGGAGACUAAUUUUGUGACAGCUCUAGCUCCCAAAAAGGGCAUAAAUUUACUAGGUUCUUUUGGAAGGAUCACUGAACCAAGUCACAGUAUCAGAAAUCACUUAGUGUUUAACACUGUUUUUGUAAGUUAAUUUCCUCUUAGGAGAAAUAAAUGCUGAAAAGGUGGAUAUGAGGGAAUUAAUAGUUGCGCAAUUUGCUGGAGCAACUUUUCUUUAUUUCAAAUGAGAUCAAGUUCCAUGCUUUGCAACCUGAUUUUCUGGUAUUCUUGUUAUUGUUUGCAUUCUUCUGGGAGUUAUUUCUCUUCACCCCCGCCUCCACUUCUGGAACUAGUAAGAUUUGAUUUUGUUUUAUUAUUAUUUUAAGGCCCGUGUUUGUACGAAUGUAAUAUCUGUCUAAUUCUAUUUCAGCCUCUAUGUGUCUGGUGUGCAUGGUGAAACAGCGGCACACACACACACACACACACACACACACACUGUUACAGUUUGGAUCACUGAGGCAUUGCAUGAAAAAAGCUUUUGUUGCCUCUAAAGCAGUGGUUCUCAACAUGGGGUCCCCAGAUGUUUUUGGCUUUCAACAUCCAGAAAUCGUAAUAGCUGGUAAACUGGCUGGAAUUUCUGGGUGUUGUAGGCCAAAAUAAUCUGGAGACGCCAGACUGAGAACUACUGCUCUAAAUUGUUUUUGGUAGGACAGUGGAAAGAGGAGUAGAGAGUUCUGUUCCCUCUGAAACAGUCUCAAAUCAGCUGGUUUCUAGAUAGUUGUGUGUGCCCUCAAGUCAUUUUUGAUCUAUGGUAACCCAGCCUAAGGCAACCAUUUCCACAGGUGUUUCUUGGCAAUAUUUUCCCAGAAGAGCUUUGCUAUUGCCUUGUUUUGAGUCAGAGAGAGUGUGACUGGCCCAAGAUCAUCCAGUAGAUUUCAUGGUUGAACUGGAAUUAAAAUCCUAGUCUAUGAAAUCAUAGUCGAAUGCUCAAACCACUAGACCAAUUUAACAGGAUUCCUCUUGUCAGACGGCUCUACCUUUUUGCUUUCAUAAGUUAUUCAAUUAAAAAAAGACUUGUAAAGUUAGAGAAAGUAAUUGAUACACCAUCAUAACAGAGCAUUAAAAAAACAACUCAGGUGAUGUUAUGGUUGAGCCUUCUGGCUCCGAUACUAGGAGACGGGGUCGUAAGACUCCUCGUGAGUCAGACUCUUUUGAGGAGCGUGAAAGGAAACGGCUCCGGGACUUAUUUGCAGAACCAACAGAUGAGGACUCUUUUGAGGGUUUUACCGAGGGAAUGGAGGAAGAAAUGGUCAGCUCGGAGGAGGAUGACAUGGAGUGGACUCGUGUGAGGGAGGAUUUGGGUGUCACCGGCAAUGAAAGCAUGGGAGGUGAUUGGCGGGUUGCAGGAUCAGACCCAUGGACGGGCUGGAGGGAUGGAGCGGGAUCCACAGCUGGGGAUGCUGUGGGGCGUAGUCAAAGGUGUUUUAGCUCUGAUGAGGAUGAUGAUGAUGAGGCACCUGGGAUUAGGAUGGCAGCUGACAGCGAUGAUGAGCUUGAACUGGGAUAAAAUGGGGUUUAGGAUCAAUGUCUAAUUGCGUUGGGCAAGGUAAUCUGGACGAACGCUUGGGCUCUUGUUGGGGAACUUCCUGAAGACGGGUGUGAUUCGUUGCUGGAUACCUUGGACCUCCGUCGUCUUUUUGACGGACAUUAAUUACCUACUCUGGAUUGACGCUGGACUGACUGACUUCGACCCCGGAUUAUCCCUUCUGUGGCUAUCGGUGGGACUUGUGGAAUUCUAGACGUCUGCACUUGGCUUUCGACCUUGGACCGGAUUGAGACCCUGCUGACUGCCGUUACCCUGAUUGAUGUGCCUGGACCCGGAUUUCGCUCGUUGCACGGAGGAGUAAACAGCCUGAUUUACUCAUCUGUAGCUUUUGAGUAGCAGAGAGGAAUCUGCUGCCAAUUUAUUGUGUUCAUUCUGACCUUCUGUUAAUCCUCUUUUGUUUGCUAAAUUUGCAGGCUGAAGUAAGCACUUUUGAUUUAAUCCGGAUUAAACUCCUGUUUAAUCCGGUUUAUCCUUUUUGAACCGUUUUAGUUCAAACGGAGCUGUUUUUGUUACUUUUCACACUGAAGUCAAGUGUUUGCCUAAUCCUUUGUUUCCUACGGGCAUUUUCAGUUUUGUAACCUCAAUAAACUGAGUUUUACUCUA